UACGUAGGGGGCAAGCGUUGUCCGGAAUCAUUGGGCGUAAAGCGCGUGUAGGCGGCUUCGUAAGUCCGUUGUGAAAGUCCAGGGCUCAACCCUGGAAUGCCGAUGGAUACUGCGGAGCUAGAGUACGGAAGAGGCGAGUGGAAUUCCUGGUGUAGCGGUGAAAUGCGCAGAUAUCAGGAGGAACACCGGUGGCGAAGGCGGGUCUCUGGGCCGAUACUGACGCUGAGGAGCGAAAGCGUGGGGAGCGAACAGG
Molecule: ribosomal RNA, 253 nt
Filed under: uncultured bacterium
Lineage: Bacteria
Description: partial 16S ribosomal RNA
Rfam family: Bacterial small subunit ribosomal RNA
Source: RNAcentral